Molecule: ribosomal RNA, 1497 nt
Filed under: uncultured prokaryote
Description: partial 16S ribosomal RNA
Rfam family: Bacterial small subunit ribosomal RNA
Source: RNAcentral
CUCAGAAUGAACGCUGGCGGCGCGCCUAACACAUGCAAGUCGAACAAGAAAUCUUGAGCUUGCUCGAGAGAGUAAAGUGGCGCACGGGUGAGUAACGCGUGGGUAACCUGUCCUUAAAUCUGGGAUAAUCCACCGAAAGGUGGCCUAAUACCGGAUACAGUCCUGAAAACCGUGGUUUUCAGGAUGAAAGCUGACCUCUUCUUGAAAGUUGGCGUUUAAGGAGGGGCCCGCGUGCCAUUAGCUUGUUGGUAGGGUAAAGGCCUACCAAGGCUACGAUGGUUAGCUGGUCUGAGAAGACGGCCAGUCACACUUGAACUGAAACACGGUCCAGACUCCUACGGGAGGCAGCAGUGAGGAAUCUUGCGCAAUGGGGGAAACCCUGACGCAGCAACGCCGCGUGAGUGAUGAAGGCUCUUGGGUCGUAAGCUCUGUCGGUGGGGAAGAAACUACUAUCGGAUAAUACUCGGUAGUACUGACGGUACCCACAAAGGAAGCACCGGCUAUCUCCGUGCCAGCAGCCGCGGUAAUACGGGGGGUGCAAGCGUUAAUCGGAAUUAUUGGGCGUAAAGAGCGUGUAGGCGGUUGUCUAAGUCUGAUGUGAAAGCCCGGGGCUCAACCCCGGAAGUGCAUUGGAAACUGAGCAACUUGAGUACGGGAGAGGAAAGUGGAAUUCCGAGUGUAGGGGUGAAAUCCGUAGAUAUCCGGAGGAACACCAGUGGCGAAGGCGGCUUCCUGGACCAAUACUGACGCUGAGGCGCGAAAGCGUGGGGAGCAAACAGGAUUAGAUACCCUGGUAGUCCACGCCGUAAACGAUGUCAACUAGGUGCAGGGGGUGUUGAUCCCCUCUGUGUCGCAGCUAACGCAUUAAGUUGACCGCCUGGGGAGUACGGUCGCAAGAUUAAAACUCAAAGGAAUUGACGGGGGCCCGCACAAGCGGUGGAGUAUGUGGUUCAAUUCGAUGCAACGCGAAAAACCUUACCUGGGUUUGACAUCCUCUGACAGUCCCUGAAAAGGGAUCUUCUCGAUUUAUCAGGACAGAGUGACAGGUGCUGCAUGGCUGUCGUCAGCUCGUGUCGUGAGAUGUUGGGUUAAGUCCCGCAACGAGCGCAACCCUUGUCUUUAGUUGCCAAUAUUAAGUUAGGCACUCUAGAGAUACUGCCCCGGUUAACGGGGAGGAAGGUGGGGACGACGUCAAGUCCUCAUGGCCUUUAUACCCAGGGCUACACACGUGCUACAAUGGGCUGUACAAAGGGUUGCCACCUUGUGAGGGGGAGCUAAUCCCAGAAAGCAGUCCUAAGUUCGGAUUGGAGUCUGCAACUCGACUCCAUGAAGCUGGAAUCGCUAGUAAUCGUGGAUCAGCAUGCCACGGUGAAUACGUUCCCGGGCCUUGUACACACCGCCCGUCACACCACGAAAGUUGACUGUACCAGAAGUUGCUGGGCUAACUCCGGGCAACCGGAGAGGCAAGCACCUAAGGUAUGGCUGAUGAUUGGGGUG